This 166-nucleotide small RNA is filed under the name bovine gut metagenome. RNAcentral's name for it is "RT-3 RNA". The stretch from base 1 to 119 matches the Rfam family "RT-3 RNA". The record is from RNAcentral.
AUCGUCUCUACGGCACACCGUCACGCGAUGGCGGACAGCAGAGGACGAGAGGCCUGAGCCUCAGCAAUAGCGGCAUCAUGCCGGAAAGCUGGAAAAUCACGCGUGGCAUUCCUGAAGCCACGGAUUCAAGCAGAGGCUGGUAGGUUGAUUCUCGAACGCCUUGGGC